This 151-nucleotide ribosomal RNA is filed under the name Physcomitrium patens. RNAcentral's name for it is "rRNA 5_8S_rRNA". It matches the Rfam family "5.8S ribosomal RNA". Rfam says of the family: 5.8S ribosomal RNA (5.8S rRNA) is a component of the large subunit of the eukaryotic ribosome. It is transcribed by RNA polymerase I as part of the 45S precursor that also contains 18S and 28S rRNA. The record is from RNAcentral. Lineage: Eukaryota; Viridiplantae; Streptophyta; Bryopsida; Funariales; Funariaceae.
AACUCUCAGCAACGGAUAUCUUGGCUCUUGCACGAUGAAGAACGCAGCGAAAUGCGAUACGUAGUGUGAAUUGCAGAAUUCCGUGAAUCAUCGAGUUUUUGACGCAAGUUGCGCCCGAGGCUCGUCCGAGGGCAUUCCUGCCAGAGCGUCA